This 446-nucleotide ribosomal RNA is filed under the name uncultured bacterium. RNAcentral describes it as "partial 16S ribosomal RNA". It matches the Rfam family "Bacterial small subunit ribosomal RNA", at positions 338 to 795 of the family's 1533-position model. The record is from RNAcentral.
CCUACGGGGAGCAGCAGUCGAGAAUCAUUCACAAUGGGGGAAACCCUGAUGGUGCGACGCCGCGUGGGGGAAUGAAGGUCUUCGGAUUGUAAACCCCUGUCAUGUGGGAGCAAAUUAAAAAGAUAGUACCACAAGAGGAAGAGACGGCUAACUCUGUGCCAGCAGCCGCGGUAAUACAGAGGUCUCAAGCGUUGUUCGGAAUCACUGGGCGUAAGGCGUGCGUAGGCUGUUUCGUAAGUCGUGUGUGAAAGGCGCGGGCUCAACCCGCGGACGGCACAUGAUACUGCGAGACUAGAGUAAUGGAGGGGGAACCGGAAUGCUCGGUGUAGCAGUGAAAUGCGUAGAUAUCGAGAGGAACACUCGUGGCGAAGGCGGGUUCCUGGACAUUAACUGACGCUGAGGCACGAAGGCCAGGGGAGCGAAAGGGAUUAGAUACCCUAGUAGUC